AGCAGCCGCGGUAAUUCCAGCUCCAAUAGCGUAUAUUAAAGUUGUUGCAGUUAAAAAGCUCGUAGUUGAAUUUCGGGAUCAAUACGCCUGUCGUGCCUUCGGUACGUACGGGUGUAAUUGGUUUCUACCUUCUGAGGAUCCUUGAUGUCAUUAAUUUGGUGUCUUGGGGAAUCAGGACUGUUACCUUGAAAAAAUUAGAGUGUUUAAAGCAGGCAUACGCUUGAAUACAUUAGCAUGGAAUAAUGAAAUAGGACGUUCGAUUCUAUUUUGUUGGUUUCUAGGAUCGACGUAAUGAUUAAUAGGGAUAGUUGGGGGCAUUAGUAUUCAAUUGUCAGAGGUGAAAUUCUUGGAUUUAUUGAAGACUAACUACUGCGAAAGCAUUUGCCAAGGAUGUUUUCAUUAAUCAAGAACGAAAGUUAGGGGAUCGAAGACGAUCAGAUACCGUCGUAG
RNAcentral lists this ribosomal RNA (450 nucleotides) under uncultured Glomeromycotina. Its description in RNAcentral is "SSU rRNA". It matches the Rfam family "Eukaryotic small subunit ribosomal RNA", at positions 569 to 1023 of the family's 1831-position model. Lineage: Eukaryota; Fungi; Glomeromycota. The record is from RNAcentral.